Molecule: long non-coding RNA, 1012 nt
Organism: Gasterosteus aculeatus aculeatus (three-spined stickleback)
Lineage: Eukaryota; Metazoa; Chordata; Actinopteri; Perciformes; Gasterosteidae
Source: Ensembl
GGAGGACAGAGGAAGGUCACAACGAAAGUGAGGCUGAAUGUCCAGAAACCGGGGAGCGCUGCCCCUCGGUGUUUCAAGGUCGAGAUGGAAACACAAAUCUCUGCAAAGGACAAAAUGGGGCUGAGUGAGAGCUCAUUUAGCUGUCGGUUAUGCCACAUGGCACUUUGAAAGCAUCAGUCUAUUUCCGUUAUUUUGGGUAGCAACUCUGAGCUGCUUAAUAUUUCCAAAAGCUUAGACAAUAAUCCAUUACACACUGAUUAAUGAUUGCACUUUUGCUCCGUUGUAUGUGCAAAUGUGCAUCCAAGGCCUAUAGUAGUGAAGGACAGCGUGUCCAUGACGAGUGUGCACAAUGGCCAUUAUUUCAUGGAAGAUAUUUCAGAAGAACGUUCAACAUUUUAUAAACAAUAACAUGCCGAGUGUUUCACUGAUGAGACAAGAAUAAGUUGGUGCAAUUUUUGACCAUAUUUAACCCUUCCCUUCUAUUCGUUGGAAGGUGUUGAAGAAAAACCGCUGUGAAGAAAAUCUACUCUGAUUUGAUCAAUGUUUCUCCCUUAUAAAAAGGUGAUCGUAUUGUCCCCAAACGUGUUGCAUUUCGAUGUUUGUGUUCAACUGAUCGGUAUGCAAGAAGGCUAUGAAACAGAGUGUUGCAUUGUUCUGCCCUUAUUACACCGUGACUUUUAGUGCUCACGUUGCCAGCAAUGUUCCCCCUUCCCUCCUUGAGUCCACACGGUUCAGAGAUGGAUGUGGGAUGCAGGCUCAAUCAACCUACAAACUUGCGCAACAAACACAUUAUGCUGCAGAAGCAAUGACUCCCAUGUAUCUCCCAUUCAACUGAAUUUAAGCAUCCAGAUGUUUUCCAUCGAAGCUGGUUGUUAUCAAGCGUAUUUUACGGGGCAGCUAUGAACACAUACAGAUGCUUUCAUUUUGUACAUUUCGCAUGUCUGUGUGCGUGCGUUGUCUGUGAAUGGGUUUCCUGUUGUGUUCGGAUAAGGGUGUCAAGUUUGAAAAUGUC